UACUCAAUGUCUCUGAAGGUGAAGGUUUGAUUUAGUUAUCACGGCCAAUGACCAUUGAAACCUCCAUGAAUUUGCCCGAUCCUGUUUUAAUUUAAUAUGGUGACCCUCACCAGACUGGAUGACAAUGAAAUCCAUAAAUCAGUUGUGUGUUGUGUUAAAAAAGUACUUUGUUUUGUCUGUCCUGAAUCUCCUACCAAACACUUUAAUUGGGAGACUGACACUCCCACAAUUCUAGAGGAGGGGAACAGAUUUUCUAUCCACUUCCUCUACACCUUACAUAAUUCAAUAAAUCUUUAUAAAUCUAAAUGAUAAACCUUAAUUUGUAUAAACCUCUCCAUGAAUGGGAUUUCUGCUAAUCUUCCCUCAUUCCCACCCCAUUAAAUGAGCCCCUGUCAGACGUGAAUUGCAAAUGUAAGCUUUUAGAGGCAUAUGACUAGCACAAGAACCUGAGCCAUUGGCUUAUUUGGAAUGGCAGUGAUCUGGCAGGAUGCAUUGUGACAAAGAUUAUUACACUCUUGUGUCAGAGGCUGUGUUGCUCCCAUAGAGCUGGAGCAUCUCAGUGCUGAUGUUCAUACUCUGCACUUGCCUAGGCAAUUUCACCUCCCUAGGCAAAGCAUCUGCUUUGCUGGCUAUGGAUAACAUGAGCUGCUUCAUCAGGCCAAUAGUCACUAGCAGGCUGGAGACCAGCAAAAUCCAGGAACUCACCUGUGACAGGAGAAAAUCCUUCCUUCGGCCAUCAGGGUGGCAUCACAGAGCUGAUCUCCAUUGAUUGUGUAGUGUCUUCUCCUCGCAGGUACUUAGGAAUAAUGUUUUCCUUCUUUGCUACCUCUUGAAUAGUCAACCUUCCCCUGGCCUUGAGCUUAAGAGAGGGGGGAGAGCGUAACUCAGUGGCAGAGCACCUGCUUGGCAUGCCAAAUGUCCAGUGUCAAUCCCCAGCAUCUCAAUUUAAAAAUUAAAAUGUGAAGCAGGCAGUGGGAAAGACUCCUUCCUGAAACCCUAGACGGCUGUAGCCAGUCUGAGCAGACAAUACUGAGCUAGGUGGACAAAUAGUAUAAGACAGACUUUUAUGUUCUAUGAAAGAUGGUGUAUCUGUUGCCCUGGAACACUUCAAUGACUUACAGCAAGGGUAGGGAACCAGGGGCCCUUUAGGUGUUGCUGGAUUACAGCUUCCCUCUCACGCUGGCUAGGACUGAUGGGAGGUGGAGUCCAACAACAUCCGGAGGGCUCUCGGUUCCACACCACUGAGAGAUUCCCAUAUCCUGUAUCUUCCUAACCCCUUUGUUCCCAAAUGAUGCUCACAAGGGUCUCCAGUCCAUCUGGUUGCUACCAAGAACUGGUUUCAAGAUGGUGCCUGUACCUGAGACAGGGAUUAGUUGGUUGAGAACCACUUUGGGUUAUUAUAGGGCCUGGAACAAAUCCUGGUGGAGAAGCAGUCCCAAAAAAACUGGAAAAAAUACAACCCCAGUGCUAGUCAACAUGGGUCUCAGCACAUAGUAUGAGGUGGUUUCACAUAUAAAGAAGAGGGCUGUUGUUCUGGUUUUGGUUGCUGGCCAUUUGGUGAAACCAAGAUAUUUAGGCCAUUGUGUCAGAAGUGUGAAUUGCAGAGCACAAGAACAACUCUAAAUCCCCAGGUAUAGGCAGACCACCCAUUAUGACUACAAGCCUUGACACAGACAGGCAGCAGCCAAUGAGCUGUUAAUCUUUUACCAGUCCCAUUUCUUAUUUGCAUAUGGGAGACCAACAAGGCAUAUUUUAAAAGCCAUUGGCUGGGCUGGUAGGUGCAGAGGAAAUAAUUUCUUCUUUCAUAUAUAGCCCCUUUCAAAAGUUUUACCUUUACAGGUGGAGGUCAGAUUUUUAAAAGUCAAGGAAAUCAUGCAGCUGCUGCGUUCUGAAAGAAGAAACAUUUGAUAGCUGUGGAGCUCAGAGAUGAUUAAACAUCUGGAUGGAGAGCUUUGGAUAAUCUCCGAUUGGGCUAGAAAAACAAGGGUGGAACAGAAUCGUGGAGAAUGAAAGCAGGAGGACACCAGCAGAGCUCUGCAUGGGGGAAGGACUGGAGCGGCAAGGAGAAGGAGGCUUCUGAACAACUUUAGGGGCCAGCAGAACUCAAAUAAAAUAAGUCUAUGGAUACAGA
Molecule: long non-coding RNA, 2131 nt
Organism: Podarcis raffonei (Aeolian wall lizard)
Lineage: Eukaryota; Metazoa; Chordata; Lepidosauria; Squamata; Lacertidae
Exons: 3
Source: RefSeq, a predicted model, not a curated record